RNAcentral lists this ribosomal RNA (1234 nucleotides) under uncultured bacterium. RNAcentral describes it as "bacterial SSU rRNA". It matches the Rfam family "Bacterial small subunit ribosomal RNA", at positions 8 to 1235 of the family's 1533-position model. The record is from RNAcentral.
ANANNUUGAUCAUGGCUCAAAUUGAACGCUGGCGGCAUGCUUUACACAUGCAAGUCGAACGGCAGCACGGGUGCUUGCACCUGGUGGCGAGUGGCGGACGGGUGAGUAAUGCAUCGGAACGUGCCCAGGAGUGGGGGAUAACGCAUCGAAAGAUGUGCUAAUACCGCAUAUACUCUGAGGAAUAAAGCAGGGGACCGCAAGGCCUUGCGCUUUUGGAGUGGCCGAUGCCUGAUUAGCUAGUUGGUGGGGUUUUGNCCUACCAAGGCGACGAUCAGUAGUUGGUCUGAGAGGACGACCAGCCACACUGGGACUGAGACACGGCCCAGACUCCUACGGGAGGCAGCAGUGGGGAAUUUUGGACAAUGGGCGCAAGCCUGAUCCAGCAAUGCCGCGUGAGUGAAGAAGGCCUUCGGGUUGUAAUGCUCUUUCAGUUGAGAAGAAAAGGUUGUGGUAAAUAAUCACAAUUGAUGACGGUAUCGACAGAAGAAGCACCGGCUAACUACGUGCCAGCAGCCGCGGUAAUACGUAGGGUGCAAGCGUUAAUCGGAAUUACUGGGCGUAAAGGGUGCGCAAGCGGCUUUGUAAGUCAGAUGUGAAAUCCCCCGGGCUUAACCUGGGAAUUGCGUUUGAAACUACAAGGCUAGAGUGUAGCAGAGGGGGGUGGAAUUCCAUGUGUAGCAGUGAAAUGCGUAGAGAUAUGGAAGAACAUCGAUGGCGAAGGCAGCCCCCUGGGUUAACACUGACGCUCAUGCACGAAAGCGUGGGGAGCAAACAGGAUUAGAUACCCCUGGUAGUCCACGCCCUAAACGAUGUCAACUAGUUGUCGGGCCUUUUUAGGUUUGGUAACGAAGCUAACGCGUGAAGUUGACCGCCUGGGGAGUACAGUCGCAAGAUUAAGACUCAAAGGAAUUGACGGGGACCCGCACAAGCGGUGGAUUAUGUGGAUUAAUUCGAUGCAACGCGAAAAACCUUACCUACCCUUGACAUGUAGCGAAUUUUCCAGAGAUGGAUUANAAACNUACGGGAACGCUAACACAGGUGCUGCAUGGCUGUCGUCAGCUCGUGUCGUGAGAUGUUGGGUUAAGUCCCGCAACGAGCGCAACCCUUGUCAUUAAUUGCCAUCGUUUAGUUGGGCACUUUAAUGAGACUGCCGGUGACAAACCGGAGGAAGGUGGGGAUGACGUCAAGUCCUCAUGGCCCUUAUGGGUAGGGCUUCACACGUAAUACAAUGGCG